CACCUGGAAAAAGAAAAUGCCUCCACGAGAUCUACCUGUUCCUGCACUGCUUAAGAUCCAGUCCUGACUUCCUUUGGGGAUGAACGUGGUUUAAAGAUUAUAUGCGGCAUGGCAUGAGUUCCAUUUUACUCUGUGUCACUCUUGGCCACUCUGUUCUGCACCACAAACACUUCCGUGGCCCGGAGAGGACCUUCCCCAGUCCACCGUGCGGCAGAGUACAGUAGAGGGUAGAGAAGUCCACACGCUCAGCAUCUCUCAGGUAAAAGCAAGCGAUCGCUAU
Long non-coding RNA from Mus musculus (house mouse), 280 nucleotides. RefSeq annotates it as predicted gene, 53414. Lineage: Eukaryota; Metazoa; Chordata; Mammalia; Rodentia; Muridae. The record is from RefSeq and is a predicted model, not a curated record. The transcript has 3 exons.